Molecule: ribosomal RNA, 301 nt
Filed under: uncultured bacterium
Lineage: Bacteria
Description: partial 16S ribosomal RNA
Rfam family: Bacterial small subunit ribosomal RNA
Source: RNAcentral
CAGUAGCCACGGUAAUACGGAGGGAGCUAGCGUUGUUCGGAAUUACUGGGCGGAAAGCGCACGUAGGCUGCUUGGUAAGUUAGAGGUGAAAGCCUGGAGCUCAACUCCAGAAUUGCCUUUAAGACUGCCGAGCUAGAACGUCGGAGAGGUGAGUGGAAUUCCGAGUGUAGAGGUGAAAUUCGUAGAUAUUCGGAAGAACACCAGUGGCGAAGGCGGCUUACUGGCUCAUUCUAGACGCUGAGGUGCGAAAGCGUGGGGAGCAAGCAGGAUUAGAUACCCCCGUAGUCCCUGUCUCUUAUAC